CAGAGGGUAGUUUAAAAAAAAUAUUAAUUUUGGGGAUUAAAGACAAAAUGAUUUCCUCUGAAG
Molecule: transfer RNA, 63 nt
Filed under: Tenuilapotamon latilum
Lineage: Eukaryota; Metazoa; Arthropoda; Malacostraca; Decapoda; Potamidae
Description: tRNA-Pro
Source: RNAcentral